GGGCCGGUAGCUCAGCUGGAAGAGUGCCCGCCUCGCAAGCGGGAGGUCCCGGGUUCAAAUCCCGGCCGGUCCA
This 73-nucleotide transfer RNA is filed under the name Acidianus ambivalens. Its description in RNAcentral is "tRNA-Ala". It matches the Rfam family "tRNA". Rfam says of the family: Transfer RNA (tRNA) molecules are approximately 80 nucleotides in length. RNAcentral also lists the same sequence under 4 other names. Lineage: Archaea; Thermoproteati; Thermoproteota; Thermoprotei; Sulfolobales; Sulfolobaceae. The record is from RNAcentral.